Molecule: long non-coding RNA, 523 nt
Organism: Eufriesea mexicana
Lineage: Eukaryota; Metazoa; Arthropoda; Insecta; Hymenoptera; Apidae
Exons: 3
Source: RefSeq, a predicted model, not a curated record
AAUGUAACCUCCAAAAGAAGAACUACGAUCGAGUCAACAGAGAAAAAAGAGAAAAAAAAAAGAAGGAAAUAGUCACAGUAAUAGCUAGACGACUCACUAGAAUAGAACUGCCGAAAAACCCUCUAGCGGCGAAUGCUGGAGAUACCGCCAUGAACUCCUUUGAGUUUUGUUGGUGAAGCAGAGACCCCCGAAAUCCUGUCACGAUGCGCUCCAUGUAAUGCAACCAUCACGACGUGAAUGAUAAUAAUACCACACGACACCAAAGUCACGGAAUGCGCAAAGCAAGGAGACCGAAGCGAGAGAUCGCACGGUAUGGGGAGAAAACACGUAGGCAGCAAGUUGCAAAAUUCGUACUUGCGCAAGUACCGUUUACCGUGGACGUACGAUGGGAUGACGUCGACUGGGAUCGAACGAUGUAAACGAACCUUUUAAGAAUCGAGAGCGAUAGACAAUGGCAACCGGAAGUGGUGCGAGGCGAAUGGCCGAUAGCAAUGCAAUUGUAUAAAAAAAAUUUUAAUCCUAA